Molecule: transfer RNA, 110 nt
Filed under: Coprinellus micaceus
Lineage: Eukaryota; Fungi; Basidiomycota; Agaricomycetes; Agaricales; Psathyrellaceae
Description: tRNA-Gly
Source: RNAcentral
GUCACUUUGCCAGAGUGGUUAACGGGAUCGCCUGCCAUUAUCUUCAGACUUCGAGAAAGCUUCCUAGCAGUUGUGCUUUGCUCGUGAGUGUUCAAAUGGCUCAGGUGACA